This 65-nucleotide transfer RNA is filed under the name Euwallacea interjectus. RNAcentral's name for it is "tRNA-Tyr". It matches the Rfam family "tRNA". From Rfam's summary of the family: Transfer RNA (tRNA) molecules are approximately 80 nucleotides in length. Their secondary structure includes four short double-helical elements and three loops (D, anti-codon, and T loops). Further hydrogen bonds mediate the characteristic L-shaped molecular structure. tRNAs have two regions of fundamental functional importance: the anti-codon, which is responsible for specific mRNA codon recognition, and the 3' end, to which the tRNAs corresponding amino acid is attached (by aminoacyl-tRNA synthetases). tRNAs cope with the degeneracy of the genetic code in two manners: having more than one tRNA (with a specific anti-codon) for a particular amino acid; and 'wobble' base-pairing, i.e. permitting non-standard base-pairing at the 3rd anti-codon position. The record is from RNAcentral. Lineage: Eukaryota; Metazoa; Arthropoda; Insecta; Coleoptera; Curculionidae.
GGUAAAAUGGCUGAGCUUAAGCGAUAAAUUGUAAAUUUAUUAACAAGAUUAAAUCUUUUUUAUCA